GUAGGUGGCAAGCGUUGUCCGGAAUUAUUGGGCGUAAAGCGCGCGCAGGCGGUUCUUUAAGUCUGAUGUGAAAGCCCACGGCUCAACCGUGGAGGGUCAUUGGAAACUGGAGAACUUGAGUACAGAAGAGGAAAGCGGAAUUCCACGUGUAGCGGUGAAAUGCGUAGAGAUGUGGAGGAACACCAGUGGCGAAGGCGGCUUUCUGGUCUGUAACUGACGCUGAGGCGCGAAAGCGUGGGGGAGCAAACAGGAUUAGAUACCCUGGUAGUCCACGCCGUAAACGAUGAGUGCUAAGUGUUAGGGGGUUUCCGCCCUUAGUGCUGCAGCUAACGCAUUAAGCACUCCGCCUGGGAGUACGGCGCAAGGCUG
Molecule: ribosomal RNA, 369 nt
Filed under: uncultured organism
Description: partial 16S ribosomal RNA
Rfam family: Bacterial small subunit ribosomal RNA
Source: RNAcentral